UUAAGUUCAGCGGGUAGUCCUACCUGAUUUGAGGUCAGAUUUCAAAGUUUGCUUUGACCGCCGCUCUGAGAGGCAGGUCGUGGAAGGGCUCAAAAGGGGGGACUCUGUCGAGCGAGGAUGGUACAACGCCCAGUCGAGUUUGACCCACAGGCCCAACCGACGCAUUUAAGGGGAGCCGCCUCACGGCAGCAGGGCCCCCA
This 200-nucleotide unclassified non-coding RNA is filed under the name Trechispora sp. Its description in RNAcentral is "partial internal transcribed spacer 2". Lineage: Eukaryota; Fungi; Basidiomycota; Agaricomycetes; Trechisporales; Hydnodontaceae. The record is from RNAcentral.